Non-coding RNA from Salvia hispanica, 831 nucleotides. Lineage: Eukaryota; Viridiplantae; Streptophyta; Magnoliopsida; Lamiales; Lamiaceae. The record is from RefSeq and is a predicted model, not a curated record.
UGUCUCUAAUUUAACCGUCAUUUUCCAUGUGACGAAAUUCGGUUUUAUUAAAUCAAAAUCAAAACCAUUCGAGCCGCCAUCGUUUAUCUGCUUCGACACCAACCAAAGAUUCAUCCAUCCAUACACAAGCAAGCAGGGAUUAGAAUACUAACAAUGGAUAAGAAAGAAUCUGGGGAGAAGGCCUCUGAGGAUGCGACUCGUGAGUCACUAAUUGCAAUUUCAUAUGGAGCACCAGAUCUAACUGCUAAAAUGUCACCUAAAAGUAAAGCAGAGGAGAAUGUAGUCAAACCUCAUAGGCAUGAUGAAGAUGAGAUAUAUAGGUCUAAGUUGAUGUCCAUAUCAUCUUCACCAUCUUCAAAUAUGAAAGUCCAACCAGUCCUGCCCGGGCAACCUCAUCCUUAGCCUGGACAACAGACACGACUGAAUUUAAUCCCUUACUGCAGGGGGCUUCAGUGUAUUUAACGCUUUAUUAAACUGUUACCAUUUUAAGACUGCCAUGGUGAUAGAUAUACUGUCUCAUGUUUAAAAUCUUUAUACUGUAAAAUUAUUCAGACAUGUACACUGCAUAAGUAGGCAGUGGCAAUGGCAGCCAUCGCUGCAAAAAUGUUGUCUUUUGGCUUCUACUCCUACUGCAGUCAUACUUUCAAACUUCUAGUCACGAAUAAGUUUUGUUUGUGCCUUCCAUCAAUUUCCAAUGGAUUUAUCUGUGAGAAUCCAGUCGGAGAAAAUAAAAGAUCGUUUCGGUGAUAAACCAAAUAUAGGGUCAUGUAUGUCCAAAAUCAUUUAUGAAAUGUUUCACAUGUCUGUGAGCUCUAUACCUUAGACCUCUAA